UACCCGCAGCACAAGUGGUGGUCAUUAUUAUUGGGCCUAAAGCGUCCGUAGCUGGCUUGUUAGCUGCCUGGGUAAAUCGAUGCGCUCAACGUAUCGAACUCCGGGUAGACCGGCAAGCUUGGGACCGGGAGAGGCGUGAGCUACUCGAGGGGUAGGGGUAAAAUCCGUUGAUCCAUUGAAGACCACCAGUGGCGAAGGCGGCUUGCCAGAACGCGCUCGACGGUGAGGGAUGAAAGCUGGGGGAGCAAACCGG
RNAcentral lists this ribosomal RNA (253 nucleotides) under uncultured bacterium. RNAcentral describes it as "partial 16S ribosomal RNA". It matches the Rfam family "Archaeal small subunit ribosomal RNA", at positions 474 to 727 of the family's 1478-position model. The record is from RNAcentral.